UGAAUUCACUACUGUAAGUCGCUCUGGAUAAGAGCGUCUGCUAAAUGACUUCAU
Molecule: non-coding RNA, 54 nt
Organism: Salmo salar (Atlantic salmon)
Lineage: Eukaryota; Metazoa; Chordata; Actinopteri; Salmoniformes; Salmonidae
Source: Rfam